GCAUAUCAAUAAGCGGAGGAAAAGAAACCAACAGGGAUUGCCUCAGUAACGGCGAGUGAAGCGGCAAGAGCUCAAAUUUGAAAUCUGGGGCCUUCGGCUCCCGAGUUGUAAUUUGAAGAGGGUGUUUCGGUUGCGGCCUUGGCCUAAGUUCCUUGGAACAGGACGUCAUGGAGGGUGAGAAUCCCGUACAUGGCUGAAGGCUUGCUUCCAUGUGAAACCCCUUCGAAGAGUCGAGUUGUUUGGGAAUGCAGCUCAAAAUGGGUGGUAAAUUUCAUCUAAAGCUAAAUAUUGGCGGGAGACCGAUAGCGCACAAGUAGAGUGAUCGAAAGAUGAAAAGCACUUUGAAAAGAGAGUUAAACAGUACGUGAAAUUGUUGAAAGGGAAGCGCUUGCAAUCAGACUCGCUUUCGGUUGAUCAGCGACGCCUUCUGGCGCGUGCACUCUGCCGUUUGCGGGCCAGCAUCGGUUGGAGCGGCGGGACAAAGACGGCGGGAAUGUGGCUCCCCUCGGGGAGUGUUAUAGCCCGUCGUGUCAUACCGUCAGCCCUGACCGAGGUCCGCGGUUCGCCUAGGAUGCUGGCUUAAUGGUUGUAAGCGACCCGUCUUGAAACACGGACCAAGGAGUCUAACAUCUAUGCGAGUCUUUGGGUGUAAAACCCAUGGGCGGAAUGAAAGUGAACGGAGGUGGGAGUCCUCGGACGCACCAUCGACCGAUCCUGAUGUUCUCGGAUGGAUUUGAGUAGGAGCAUAGCUGUUGGGACCCGAAAGAUGGUGAACUAUGCCUGAAUAGGGUGAAGCCAGAGGAAACUCUGGUGGAGGCUCGCAGCGGUUCUGACGUGCAAAUCGAUCGUCAAAUUUGGGUAUAGGGGCGAAAGACUAAUCGAACCAUCUAGUAGCUGGUUCCUGCCGAAG
Molecule: ribosomal RNA, 910 nt
Filed under: Orbilia ellipsospora
Lineage: Eukaryota; Fungi; Ascomycota; Orbiliomycetes; Orbiliales; Orbiliaceae
Description: partial large subunit ribosomal RNA
Rfam family: Eukaryotic large subunit ribosomal RNA
Source: RNAcentral